AAUAUUGCACAAUGGGCGAAAGCCUGAUGCAGCGACGCCGCGUGAGGGAUGACGGCCNNNGGGUUNUCAACCUCUUUCAGCAGNGACNAAGCGAAAGUGACGGUACCUGCAGAAGAAGCGCCGGCUAACUACGUGCCAGCAGCCGCGGUAAUACGUAGGGCGCAAGCGUUGUCCGGAAUUAUUGGGCGUAAAGAGCUCGUAGGCGGUUUGUCACGUCUGCUGUGAAAACCCGAGGCUCAACCUCGGGCUUGCAGUGGGUACGGGCAGACUAGAGUGCGGUAGGGGAGACUGGAGUUCCUGGUGUAGCGGUAAAAUGCACAGAUAUCAGGAGGAACACCGAUGGCGAAGGCAGGUCUCUGGGCCGCAACUGACGCUGAGGAGCGAAAGCGUGGGUAGCAAACA
Molecule: ribosomal RNA, 402 nt
Filed under: uncultured bacterium
Lineage: Bacteria
Description: partial 16S ribosomal RNA
Rfam family: Bacterial small subunit ribosomal RNA
Source: RNAcentral